RNAcentral lists this ribosomal RNA (440 nucleotides) under uncultured Rhodospirillaceae bacterium. RNAcentral describes it as "bacterial SSU rRNA". It matches the Rfam family "Bacterial small subunit ribosomal RNA", at positions 338 to 795 of the family's 1533-position model. The record is from RNAcentral. Lineage: Bacteria; Pseudomonadati; Pseudomonadota; Alphaproteobacteria; Rhodospirillales; Rhodospirillaceae.
CCUACGGGAGGCUGCAGUGGGGAAUAUUGGACAAUGGGGGCAACCCUGAUCCAGCCAUGCCGCGUGAGUGAUGAAGGCCUUCGGGUUGUAAAGCUCUUUUGGUGGGGACGAUGAUGACGGUACCCACAGAAUAAGCUCCGGCUAACUUCGUGCCAGCAGCCGCGGUAAUACGAAGGGAGCUAGCGUUGUUCGGAAUUACUGGGCGUAAAGGGCGCGUAGGCGGUCAGGCAAGUCAGGUGUGAAAGCCCUGGGCUCAACCCGGGAAUUGCGCUUGAUACUACUUGGCUUGAAUUCGGGAGAGGUUGGUGGAAUUCCCAGUGUAGAGGUGAAAUUCGUAGAGAUUGGGAAGAACACCCGUGGCGAAGGCGGCCAACUGGACCGACAUUGACGCUGAGGCGCGAAAGCGUGGGGAGCAAACAGGAUUAGAUACCCCUGUAGUC